This 497-nucleotide ribosomal RNA is filed under the name uncultured bacterium. RNAcentral describes it as "partial 16S ribosomal RNA". It matches the Rfam family "Bacterial small subunit ribosomal RNA", at positions 28 to 507 of the family's 1533-position model. The record is from RNAcentral.
GAUGAACGCUGGCGGCGUGCCUAAUACAUGCAAGUCGAGCGAACAGAUAAGGAGCUUGCUCCUUUGACGUUAGCGGCGGACGGGUGAGUAACACGUGGAUAACCUACCUAUAAGACUGGGAUAACUUCGGGAAACCGGAGCUAAUACCGGAUAACAUAUUGAACCGCAUGGUUCAAUAGUGAAAGGCGGCUUUGCUGUCACUUAUAGAUGGAUCCGCGCCGUAUUAGCUAGUUGGUAAGGUAACGGCUUACCAAGGCAACGAUACGUAGCCGACCUGAGAGGGUGAUAGGCCACACUGGAACGGAGACGCGGUCCAGACUCCUACGGGAGGCAGCAGUAGGGAAUCUUCCGCAAUGGGCGAAAGCCUGACGGAGCAACGCCGCGUGAGUGAUGAAGGUCUUCGGAUCGUAAAACUCUGUUAUCAGGGAAGAACAAAUGUGUAAGUAACUGUGCACAUCUUGACGGUACCUGAUCAGAAAGCCACGGUUAACUACGUG